AGUUCAAAACAAGAAAUUCACCUGGUUCCAUACUGUCUGCUGCCACAGAUCUCUGAAAAGCAAAAAGAGGUGAGCGAGGAGGCAGUUAAGAAAGGAAAUGGCAAUAUUGGUUUGACAGCACAAGAGUUUCUGUGAGAAGAUAACAUAUCACACAAGUCUCCUGGCCCAAGCAUUGUGUUAGUAGAUUCUUACUGUUCACAAGAGACUUGUAAGUAAGUUUAGUCAAUUAAACUAUUAAUUUGUUUGAUUUAUUUAAGUAUGCAUCUGAUAAUCGUGAGUCCUCAAGAGAAAAACAAAUUAAAUUUACCAAAUGAAUAUGAGAAUGAUUAUCACAGUAGUGAACACCACUUAAGCAGUAGUAAAAACAAAGCAUGAUCAAUAUUCAGGCUUUGUCGCUAUGUGAACCUACAAUACAGCUCAGAGGUACUUGGCCCUAAAUUCAUGCAAAAAGGGUGUUAAAAAAAGACGUGCAUAGGCAUGCAAUUUUUUCAUAUGUACAUUAAAAAAGGCAUGCGAUAGGAGCUCAUUAGUAUGUAUGAAACAGUCUUGUUUUCCUCUUCGUUUAACUUUGAAUAGUGUGUUAGAAUUAUAACAAAGGUGGGAUUCAGAUGUGGUGACUGUUAUGAGUAAUUUUUGUUGAAAGUAUAAGCUUCUGGAAAUCUCCAGGCUACUACAUCAUGCUAACAUUUGUACCAUAGAACUUCUCGAACAUCUCAUCAGAUAUUCCAUAAUACUACUAAAAUAGUUCUUUUGCAAGCUUCUGGAAUAUUCCAGAACACUUUGUAAAUGUAAAUAUGGACUCAGUGAUGUAGUAGUAGUUGUUGUUUUUGCGAGUGACCGACUGUUUGGAAAACUAUACUGUUAGAGAGAGCUAUGGUGGAAGAUUUCUAAUUUCAAGAAAUGUUGGAGGAAACUUUGAGUUCAGCUCAGUGGUGAGCUAAGAUGUAGACUGUAGUGAGCUUAAGGAAGUUUAUUGAGCAUAAGUACUGUACUGCCAAUAGGAGUUGUUUGUUAUUAAGAAUAUCCCUAGUUGUUUAAUAAAUAACAGAAGUUGAGUUU
Molecule: long non-coding RNA, 1059 nt
Organism: Pocillopora damicornis (cauliflower coral)
Lineage: Eukaryota; Metazoa; Cnidaria; Anthozoa; Scleractinia; Pocilloporidae
Source: RefSeq, a predicted model, not a curated record